Molecule: long non-coding RNA, 169 nt
Organism: Oxyura jamaicensis (ruddy duck)
Lineage: Eukaryota; Metazoa; Chordata; Aves; Anseriformes; Anatidae
Exons: 6
Source: RefSeq, a predicted model, not a curated record
UGUAUUUGAGUCAUCAGAAAAGCACAUGGUCUGUAUCUGAGCUGGUGAGCUACAUUUGAAAUUUCACUAUUUCAUGCAUGAUGAACACCACUGUAAAUCUAAGGUCUGCAAAUGUCCAGAAUGGAAGGGCUCACCCAGAAGGUAAAGCUUCCACGUGCACAAAAGGAAA